RNAcentral lists this transfer RNA (76 nucleotides) under Escherichia coli. RNAcentral describes it as "tRNA-Val". It matches the Rfam family "tRNA". From Rfam's summary of the family: Transfer RNA (tRNA) molecules are approximately 80 nucleotides in length. Their secondary structure includes four short double-helical elements and three loops (D, anti-codon, and T loops). Lineage: Bacteria; Pseudomonadati; Pseudomonadota; Gammaproteobacteria; Enterobacterales; Enterobacteriaceae. RNAcentral also lists the same sequence under 3 other names. The record is from RNAcentral.
GGGUGAUUAGCUCAGCUGGGAGAGCACCUCCCUUACAAAGAGGGGGUCGGCGGUUCGAUCCCGUCAUCACCCACCA